UUCCACAAGUCUGUCAGGUAGAACCUGUCGCAGGUAGUCAGAAAUAGUUUUGCGUCUAGCGAUGGGCAGUCAGUUCAGAAAUAAUGAUCUUACAUCUCCGCAGUGACCUGAAGAUACAGACAAUUAGAGUAGUUUAGAAGAAAUGCUUCAGAAGUAGAUACUGGAUUCCGUGAUCCAUUGCAACUCAGUUUAACUCCCUGAGAAGACUACAAUUUUCCGAACAUCUUGAAUUGCCAAUCUCGCAAGGAACAAAGGUAUUUUGUUUACAGUGGAUCUACAUCUGACACGUUUGACAGCGUCAUCAUCAUUAUCAUCAUCACUAAACACAUACCUAGACCUGGUGAGGAAGACUCAGCUUCGGUGUAGUCUUGUGGGAGAUCUCCACACGUCAACUUCCCUACGCACACCUGACCUGCUCGGAGUACAUCCAUCAAGAGAUCCUGGAUGGCAACACGCCAGUCUUCCCUCCUACCACUCCCUACCCGUACCGUCAUCUGGCUGAGAAAUGCAUGAGCGACGUAGCACGUGACCGGCCAUCCUUCCAGAAGAUUGUUCAAGAGAUCGAAGCUUUGGAAGUCUUGGAUGGCCAGAGUAUAAUGUAGUGUCAAGUUCUCAUCAUUUUAUGUUCUCUUUUGUUGCUAUUCGAGAUGGCCCACACCCCCAGCCUGUUUCACUGUUAUAACGUAUUGACGCUGGUAAACGCGUCCGUGCAGGUAUUGUCUUGUACAAUAUUAAUAUUAAAUUUUGAAUAGAGCGCUUCCCACCAGAAUAGGUGAAUUCAUGUUUGUUUCCAAAUUCUUUUAAAAUGUUCUGCUACUCCAUCUUUCUACAGUUUCCUAGAUGUAUUGAGGGGGGGGGGGGUAUGUUGUUUCUUCCUUGUUUUGUUUAUUGUGUGAUACGUGUUGCAGUACCGUCAUGACCCUCCGAAUAGUAAUCUCUUGAGUAUUAUAGCACCCAUUGGUCAACUGCGGUUCUAACCUAGAUUUGCUGCCAUUUGUUUCCGAAUCAUCCCAUAGUUGCUGCAAAAUUGAUUCUAGCUCUA
This is a long non-coding RNA of Sycon ciliatum, 1042 nucleotides long. RefSeq lists it as uncharacterized. The record is from RefSeq and is a predicted model, not a curated record. Lineage: Eukaryota; Metazoa; Porifera; Calcarea; Leucosolenida; Sycettidae. The transcript has 2 exons.